This 253-nucleotide ribosomal RNA is filed under the name uncultured bacterium. RNAcentral's name for it is "partial 16S ribosomal RNA". It matches the Rfam family "Bacterial small subunit ribosomal RNA", at positions 524 to 776 of the family's 1533-position model. The record is from RNAcentral.
CACGUAGGGUGCGAGCGUUGUCCGGAAUUAUUGGGCGUAAAGAGCUCGUAGGCGGUGUGUCGCGUCGGCCGUGAAAACCUGCAGCUUAACUGUGGGCGUGCGGGCGAUACGGGCAGACUAGAGUACUGCAGGGGAGACUGGAAUUCCUGGUGUAGCGGUGGAAUGCGCAGAUAUCAGGAGGAACACCGGUGGCGAAGGCGGGUCUCUGGGCAGUAACUGACGCUGAGGAGCGAAAGCGUGGGGAGCGAACAGG